AUUGAACGCUGGCGGCAGGCCUAACACAUGCAAGUCGAGCGAGAAAGCACUUCGGUGUGAGUACAGCGGCGGACGGGUGAGUAACGCGUAGGAAUCUACCCAGUAGUGGGGGACAACAGUCGGAAACGGCUGCUAAUACCGCAUACGCCCUAUGGGGGAAAGCAGGGAUCUUCGGACCUUGCGCUAUUGGAUGAGCCUGCGUCGGAUUAGCUAGUUGGUGGGGUAAAGCCUACAAGGCGACGAUCCGUAGCUGGUCUGAGAGGAUGAUCAGCCACACUGGGACUGAGACACGGCCCAGACUCCUACGGGAGGCAGCAGUGGGGAAUAUUGCACAAUGGAGGAAACUCUGAUGCAGCCAUGCCGCGUGUGUGAAGAAGGCCCUAGGGUUGUAAAGC
RNAcentral lists this ribosomal RNA (395 nucleotides) under uncultured Gammaproteobacteria bacterium. RNAcentral describes it as "bacterial SSU rRNA". It matches the Rfam family "Bacterial small subunit ribosomal RNA", at positions 30 to 431 of the family's 1533-position model. The record is from RNAcentral. Lineage: Bacteria; Pseudomonadati; Pseudomonadota; Gammaproteobacteria.